GGUGGCACAGUGGUUAAAGUGUUCAGCUGCUAACUGAAAGGUCGAUGGUUCGAACCCACCAGCCA
Loxodonta africana (African savanna elephant) is the source of this 65-nucleotide non-coding RNA. The record is from Rfam. NCBI's taxonomy places the organism in Eukaryota, Metazoa, Chordata, Mammalia, Proboscidea, Elephantidae.